This 497-nucleotide ribosomal RNA is filed under the name uncultured bacterium. RNAcentral's name for it is "partial 16S ribosomal RNA". It matches the Rfam family "Bacterial small subunit ribosomal RNA", at positions 28 to 507 of the family's 1533-position model. The record is from RNAcentral.
GACGAACGCUGGCGGCGUGCUUAACACAUGCCAGUCGAGCGAACAGACCAGGAUUUUCCUCCUCUUACGUUAGCGGCGGACGGGUGAGUAACACGUGGAUAACCUACCUAUAGGACUGGGAUAACUUCGAGAAACGGGAGCUAAUACCGGAUAAUAUAUUGAACCGCAUGGUUCAAUAGUGAAAGGCGGUUUUGCUGUCACUUAUAGAUGGUUCCGCGCCGCAUUAGCUAGUUGGUAAGGUAACGGCUUACCAAGGCAACGACGCGUAGCAGACCUGAGAGGGUGAUCGGCCACACUGGAACUGAGACACGGUCCAGACUCCUACGGGAGGCAGCAGUAGGGAAUGUUACGCAAUGGGCGAAAGCUUGACGGAGCAACGCCGCGUGAGUGAUGAAGGUCUUCGGAUCGUAAAACUCUGUUAUUAGGGAAGAACAAAUGUGUAAGUAACUAUGCACGUCUUGACGGUACCUGAACAGAAAGCCACGGCUAACUACGUG